RNAcentral lists this ribosomal RNA (492 nucleotides) under uncultured bacterium. RNAcentral's name for it is "partial 16S ribosomal RNA". It matches the Rfam family "Bacterial small subunit ribosomal RNA", at positions 29 to 507 of the family's 1533-position model. The record is from RNAcentral.
AGUGAACGCUGGCGGUAGGCCUAACACAUGCAAGUCGAACGGCAGCACAGUAAGAGCUUGCUCUUACGGGUGGCGAGUGGCGGACGGGUGAGGAAUACAUCGGAAUCUACUUUUUCGUGGGGGAUAACGUAGGGAAACUUACGCUAAUACCGCAUACGACCUACGGGUGAAAGCAGGGGAUCUUCGGACCUUGCGCGAUUGAUUGAGCCGAUGUCGGAUUAGCUAGUUGGCGGGGUAAAGGCCCACCAAGGCGACGAUCCGUAGCUGGUCUGAGAGGAUGAUCAGCCACACUGGAACUGAGACACGGUCCAGACUCCUACGGGAGGCAGCAGUGGGGAAUAUUGGACAAUGGGCGCAAGCCUGAUCCAGCCAUACCGCGUGAGUGAAGAAGGCCUUCGGGUUGUAAAGCCCUUUUGUUGGGAAAGAAAAGCAGCAGGUUAAUACCCCGCUGUUCUGACGGUACCCAAAGAAUAAGCCCCGGCUAACUUCGUG